GGGAGCUUGGAUGUGGAAGCUCUUUGGAAACCAAGAAACACUCUGCAAAUGAAAAGGAUGCCAACUUCAUCUGUCUUUAAGAAUACAAUAUUAGUUUAAAAGACUGUUCAACUUAAAGCAGUCUUGUAGAGAUUGUCACCCAUGAUUGAUGCUGGCAUAAGAAUGUUUAUCACAGCAUGGCAUAUAUUGGAAGUUUAGUAAAUGAAGAUACAUCCAAUCUGACAUUCCAUUCACAACCACAAAGAGAUAAUGUAGAAACAUAUUUAGUAAUGUGAGAAAAUACUAAAUAUUAAGUGGAAAAAGGGUCUUUUAUUAUGUCUUCCUUGAAGUGCUCUGAUCAGAUCUGCAAUACUUGAGAUGUAAAUUCAACUCUACUUUUUUUUCUUUUAAAAAGAAGAGCAACAUAAUCCUUAGUGGUCCUAAAUAUUAUUCACCUUAUCUUAACAUUCAAUUUCUUUAUAUAGCAAAGGAAUGCAUUUUUAGCAAUGAAAUAAACAGCAAAC
RNAcentral lists this non-coding RNA (503 nucleotides) under Pongo abelii (Sumatran orangutan). Lineage: Eukaryota; Metazoa; Chordata; Mammalia; Primates; Hominidae. The record is from RNAcentral.